GCGAGGGGGUCAGGGACUGGGCCAAGCUCAGAAGCGGGGAGAAGAGCGAGACAGAGAUGCUCUGAGCAGGGGAGACAGGGAUCCCGGGCUGCUGCCGCUACCAACAAGGGUACACACUGCGGUCCUCAAGGCCAGGAGGGGGGUGGGGGCAGGGAAUGCCUCAGCCAACAGGGCAGCGGCUCGGCCCUGCUGCUGGCCCGGUGGGAAGUAGCCUGGGGCCCCGCGACUGAAAUCCGAGCCAGGCCUGGGCAGUCUCCGCUAGAAACGCUCUGGGCGCGCACUCCUGGAGACGCGGAGGCCCGGGCGCUCCAGACCAGUGUCCUUGUAGGAGGCUUCUUCACGAAGCUUAGAGUUUGGCCUUUCAUAGGGAAAGACUUGCUCGGGAGCAAGUCUAAGGGAUUUUAAGGGAUUUUAAAUCUUCCUGGGCCAGGGCUAGGGAGCUCUAGUGACAGUGUCUUGGUCUGGAAUCCAACUCUCCAAUUUUGAGGCCGCAGGGAGGAAUUCUGAGACUUUAGAGGCCGCACAGCCUUCAGCGCGCUCACCGCGUCCAGGCGUCAGUGAGGGGCUAUCUCGAGGCGCGAGUGCACAAAAGGUAGCGCGAGUCUCUUCUCAGGCGAUCCAGAUAAGAGGAAAUGAGAGCCGGGUUUUCUGACUUCCAACUCAUUAGGGACCAGGUUCUUUUUCUUCAGGAUCAGGCACAGAGACUGACUGAAUGGCUCCAAUUAUCAGGAUUUGAAAACCCAGUAUCAGAAUCUACCACUUUGUAUGGAGAAACUGAGGCCCAGAAAUUGAUGUCCAGAAUGCUUUGCUCUUAGCCACUGUACUAUUAUGGCAUAUUUUAUCUUUAUGUAUUGCAUCAUUUCAUGGAUUCAAGUUUAUCAAUGUCCUUUGACAAGUUUAAAAAUCUGUCUGCUAAAAUCUAUCCAAUACAUUAAGGAAAAGUCCCACUUGGCACAUCUCCCACACCAGAUGUUAAUUAUUCAUACUGCAUGACUGAGGAUUUUGGAGGCAGAGAGAGAUUCAUCUGCAAUAUUUGGAACACCAAUGGAGGUCUACGUCAACACAGAAUUUAUACAGCAGCUGGUGCUAGUCAGAGCUAAUGACAGAAUUUCAGUUUAAUAAAAAGACCCCCAACUGAGCACACCAUCUUGAAAAAAGUAUACUUAUCAAACAGCUUUCAAUCAGUUCAAGAGAGACACCUUAAUUGGGGAGAGGAAGAAUUGCAGAGUAGUUUGUAAUCAUGCCAAUUCCAGAUCAAUAACUGCAUGUCUGUUCUUUGGUAGAAAUAGCUUUUGCUUUAUAUUAAGUAAUCACAUAUAUAUUCUCUCUAUUUGGAUAAGGAAACCUUCGCUUUAUUUGACAAUGUAUAAUGAUAUACUCUUCUAAUUCACCUCUGUGUCUUCACAAUAAACAUGAGUAAAAUUUAGACAAGUGAUGGUAAAGGUCAAUAUAAUUAUUUAUUUUUAAAAUAAAUUUUGUAUCUAACAGGAAAGCAGUUCUUAUGAAAUUUUUAUAUUUUCAAAAAUUGUUUUGUUCAAAUAAAAUUUUAUGAGUAAAGUUAAA
This 1563-nucleotide long non-coding RNA is filed under the name Homo sapiens (human). RNAcentral's name for it is "surfactant associated 3, transcript variant 7 (SFTA3)". The record is from RNAcentral. Lineage: Eukaryota; Metazoa; Chordata; Mammalia; Primates; Hominidae.